CAUAAUGCGUAAUACUAGAUUAUAUUGAAUUAAUGGGCUAAAAUUUUUACAUGCAUUUUGUUAUAAGAGACAAAGAAACACACUUGGUCCUUCUGGUUCUUUUUCAUCAUAGCCCGUUAACUCACAGGUCUCAUUUUCCUGGGCCAAUUGCCAAAGGAAACGUCUGCAAUGAACGUUAGGUCCCUCCUUGCUCUCGAAAAUGUGGGAGUCCUUGUGCGCCGCCUUCUUGCCUGCAACUGCAAAGCUUGAAAAGAAGCGCGUCUUAAGAAGGUUGUUGCGUGGUCCGAUAUCUUUAUUUUCCGCGUUGCUCGACUGCGCUUUCCCUUUGAGCCCGCGGCGCGGAGACAUCAACGUUAUUAGCGCGCAUCUCAAAUCUGGUCUUUAGUAAAACUCCAGUCAGCCCUUAACAUUUAUUGUGAGCGGUCGAAUUAGACUGGAUCCCCGCUUUAAAGCAAAGCCGAAGUAGACGCGGGCUUGGCCUUGAAAUAUGGACAGGGGCUUUUUCCCACGAAGGAAGAGGUUCCCCAGAAGAUGCCAUGAUCAGUGGUUUCAGCAGAACUAUAUACCAAAUGAAAACUUUUGGAUGGAUUCUUGGGACAUGCCACAGAAUCAGUUUCCAAAGAGACCCCCUCCAUGGCGGAACCACCACUAUCCAGACCAAGAGAGGCCCUACAACGUCGGUUUUGAUAAUUACACCCGGGGUUCCUACCAUAGGCGUCCUUACCGUGGUCGUUUUUGUACAAGAUCUAAAAAGACCUUGAAAGGAAGAGGUAAUUUUCAAAACCAAUCAAGUUCUUCCUUCUCAAUCAAUGUGCCGCCAAAGAAAACAUUUGAGAAGGUGAAAGAACAGCCAGAAGAUUCCAAGGAAUUUAAACAGGACAAGGUCAAACCAAAAGAUAGUCAGCCUGACGAAGAAUCUCCUAGCCAGACUGACUCUGUUGUUUCUGCUGAAACUGUUGCAGAAGAAGAAUCACCACCUGGAAUUACAAAAAUCCCUCUUCACACCCAGAAU
This 1012-nucleotide long non-coding RNA is filed under the name Notechis scutatus (mainland tiger snake). RNAcentral's name for it is "lncRNA (ENSNSUG00000016625.1)". Lineage: Eukaryota; Metazoa; Chordata; Lepidosauria; Squamata; Elapidae. The record is from RNAcentral.